Molecule: long non-coding RNA, 452 nt
Organism: Enhydra lutris kenyoni (northern sea otter)
Lineage: Eukaryota; Metazoa; Chordata; Mammalia; Carnivora; Mustelidae
Exons: 2
Source: RefSeq, a predicted model, not a curated record
CCAAAGGCGGACACCCAACCGACUGAGCCACCCAGGUGUCUCUCUUCUGGAACUCUUCUAAACAGAAAUACAAGAGACACAGCGGGCUACAAAUCAGAAAACAGAGACCGGCAAGAUGGCGGCCCUGUCCUUCAGGAACUCAUGGGCUUGGCGGCAAGAGAGACCCCUAAAAUAUGAUGAGGUUGCAGAUGAUGACCGAAAUCCGCAAAGCACUCACUGAAAUACACACGCGUCUCAGCUGCUGUCCAAAGGAGUCCCGCUACCGAACACUUAAACACCGUGAAUCAUCCCUCUGGACUUUCUCUUUUGGUCAAUUCACAGCAUCGUGGAGGGGGGCACUUUCCCAAAACCAGACACACCCACCCAAAGAAACACGGAGUCCGGAGGGAGAACAUCGUUUUGGUUAGGCAUUCGAAAAUUAAACCUGGAAGUCGAUGAUGACUCAAGUCAAA